ACAGAGGGUGCAAACGUUGUUCGGAAAUACUGGGCGUAAAGGGCGCGUAGGCGGCCUUCUAAGUCGAACGUGAAAUCCCUGGGCUCAACCCAGGAACUGCGUCCGAUACUGGAAGGCUUGAAUCCGGGAGAGGGAUGCGGAAUUCCAGGUGUAGCGGGGAAAUGCGUAGAUAUCUGGAGGAACACCGGUGGCGAAGGCGGCAUCCUGGACAGGAAUUGACGCU
RNAcentral lists this ribosomal RNA (223 nucleotides) under uncultured prokaryote. Its description in RNAcentral is "partial 16S ribosomal RNA". It matches the Rfam family "Bacterial small subunit ribosomal RNA", at positions 525 to 747 of the family's 1533-position model. The record is from RNAcentral.